RNAcentral lists this ribosomal RNA (495 nucleotides) under uncultured bacterium. RNAcentral describes it as "partial 16S ribosomal RNA". It matches the Rfam family "Bacterial small subunit ribosomal RNA", at positions 28 to 507 of the family's 1533-position model. The record is from RNAcentral.
GACGAACGCUGGCGGCGUGCCUAAUACAUGCAAGUAGAACGCUGAAGGAGGAGCUUGCUUCUCUGGAUGAGUUGCGAACGGGUGAGUAACGCGUAGGUAACCUGCCUGGUAGCGGGGGAUAACUAUUGGAAACGAUAGCUAAUACCGCAUAACAGUAGAUAUCGCAUGAUAUCUACUUGAAAGGUGCAAUUGCAUCACUACCAGAUGGACCUGCGUUGUAUUAGCUAGUUGGUGAGGUAACGGCUCACCAAGGCGACGAUACAUAGACGACCUGAGAGGGUGAUCGGCCACACUGGGACUGAGACACGGCCCAGACUCCUACGGGAGGCAGCAGUAGGGAAUCUUCGGCAAUGGACGGAAGUCUGACCGAGCAACGCCGCGUGAGUGAAGAAGGUUUUCGGAUCGUAAAGCUCUGUUGUAAGAGAAGAACGAGUGUGAGAGUGGAAAGUUCACACUGUGACGGUAUCUUACCAGAAAGGGACGGCUAACUACGUG